Long non-coding RNA from Tympanuchus pallidicinctus (lesser prairie-chicken), 1453 nucleotides. RefSeq lists it as uncharacterized. Lineage: Eukaryota; Metazoa; Chordata; Aves; Galliformes; Phasianidae. The record is from RefSeq and is a predicted model, not a curated record. The transcript is spliced from 4 exons.
UAGAGAGGUAUGGUUAAAGAACAAAGUUGCAGAUCUGUUAUAAAGGAUAAGAGAAAAAUACUGCUCCUGACCUUUUGGUGAAAAGGCCUGAUGUUUUUUUUCUUCCUUUCAAAUUGGUGAAGUUAAUAAAGACCUUGAACAGCUCGGGGUGGUGCUGUUACUGAGACCAAUGGUCUGAUUGAUCUUAAUCCUCCAGACUCCUGUUUUGGGAAGACUGAGAUAAAAGAAACUGCGGUUUCAUAUUCCUACUCUUUCAGUGGCCAAUCAAGUUGAAGAAACUUCAAAAUCUUCCCUAUCAUCACUUCUGAGAUAUGACCCUUGAUUGACCUUGUUCAACAGUUUGUGUCUACCCAAAUCGUCAGUCAAUUUUAAUGUAAAACAAACAAGCAAAGAGAAUAGGAACUCUUACAUGGCUCUCCCAACUUUUUCUAUUUAUUAUUGGUUCACUGCCUUCUCCCCAGAAUCAUUCUCACAGACGUGCUAAAUCUGCUACUGGUAUUAGGAAGGUGUGGGAAAGGGUAAGAAAACUUACUCUGCUUACUAUUAAGAAAGAUCAACUGAAUGUCAUUAAACUGACUGAAAUGAUAUUUAUAGAAAUAUCUUUGGAUAACAGCACGGAAGGACUUCUGCAUAUAAGGAGGGAAAGUCUGUUCUUUAUAGUGUGUAUAAAAUGAAGGUGUUAGAGGAACUGUUACACUCUAGAGAUAUUUGUGGUCAGCCUUAUCUGCUCUUUUUUUCAAGGAUCCUGAAUUACUACUCUCUGGCCUGAACAGUUUUCAAGUUAAAGAGUCAUCCAGAAUCUCAACAUUUGUGGUUUGAAGAAAAGCAUGUAUUUCACAUCUCAAAGCACAAAAAAGAGGAAGAAAAGAGGUUAAAGAAAGUAUAAAAAUGCUACCUCUGCAGAUACCUUCCAGCAGAAGGGAUGUAAAGAAAAACUGUCUUGUGGAAAUGUUAAUGGCAAGAUUAAAUUAGGUUGAUGGGAACAACCCCUCAAGGAAACAUAGGCUUGAACUAGACUGAUAUUUCAUGUAGUAUUUUUUUGUUGCUUUGGCUUUAGAACUCUAUGUAACAUUGUUACAUUGUAGGUUAAAAUAAGAAGGGUUGGAGAUGAGACAGGACCAGAAAUGUAUCCCAGCAUGUCAAAGAGAUUCACAGACACCUAAGGCCAGGGACUUAUUUUUCAACUGCCAAAUGCAGCUUUCAGAAUGCCUCGCAAGAGGCAGAAAUGUCUUCCCAUGCUUGCUUAAGGCCACUAAAGGUAGGCGCGUUGUUUGCUGAAAAUGGGCAGGAGGACAUCCUGAUAUGUCUUAAUUUAUUAAGACCUGGGAUUUGCCACACUUCUGGACCAGCAAAGCAUGCAAGUGAUGCUCUUUGUAUGUCAGCACUUCAUAGCAGAGCAAUACACUGAAGUAAUAUACCCACACUUAUAGAUAAAGCUGAAGGAAAAUCUCAA